CCAAGCCCGGAGGAGCGCGGAUCUCCCCCAAGCCCCGCCGCCAGGGACACAGCGCGGCCCAGCGGGCCCCGGACAGCCUGACUCGCGCUGUAAUCGUGAUAGAGCAUCCUUACGAAUUGCCGAUGGUGCCAUUUGUUGUGCUCGAAGCCGGAUUUCUCGCAGGCCGGCCCAUCUGACAGCCUGAGGGGGGUUGGCCAUGGGUACAGCCCAACCUCCACGACUCAGCGCGCCCCGCCCUUCCCACCGCCUCACUCCCGCCUCUACUCGCCCCGCCCUCCGAGCCACGCCCCCUCGGACAUGCGCGGUGCCUCCGGGCCGCGCACGUUGAGGCGGCCCUCGGUGGGGUUGGGGCUUAGGGACUCGCGCGGACUUGCCGGUUGGUGACACUUCUUAGAACCCGUGCGGAAGCUCUUAAGCCGGUAUUUGAAACGUAAACUCACCGGCUACGAUGGAAAUACCGGUACCUGGAAACCUGGAACUUGCCUUUUCAAAGCCACCUUUCUCGCCGUCACCUCUGUCCCUCGGGGCUGCCAUAAUCGUCCCCAUGGACCUCGGUGGUGUGGCUCCCCGCAGAGUGCCCCUCGGAGCCCUGGGCUGGCUGAACAGCUUCUUAGAGGGACUGACUGCCCAGUGCGGUGUUUUGAAAAGGAGAAACAUGACAGUGGACAGGCCCAAUUCUGCGUGGUACAGAUGGGAAAGUCAGGCGGGCAGUUACUCCAUCCCUACACACGUCUCAAACUCACUUCAGCAAAGCUCCAAUUCUGUGCAGGAAGGAUGCAAAAAAAAAAGCAAAAUAUCCAUGGUAUAACUUUCUGGAGCAUCAGUCCUACUGCCAGAUUUGGAAGAAAUGAAGUUAAGUAAUUUCCAAGGAAAAAGGGAAAACGCUAUUUGUGAAGAACUGUUAAGUGCCAAACACUAUGAUAAUCAAGAAAGCCUAUGCCGAAGGGUUGCACCUCAACCUAGAGGACAUGCCAAAAAAGAACUUUCAGUCAAGGACCCUUCCAAAAUUCUUCAGUGACCUCACGAAGCAGUGUGACUCUGGAAAAAGCUCAAAUCUCACCCUAAAUGAGAUGCCUAUUCCCAGUGCCUGAGAGGACAGAGGCCCAGAGCACACUUGUGGCAGAUCCCCUGGGCAGAGGUGUGACCCAGCAUUUCAGGGCAGUAUCUCCCCUCCCUGACAAACAUGGAGGAAGAGACAGAAGAGCAGGAGGGAAGAAGUGCCCCAGGACAACAGUCCAGUCUCUGAAGAUUCAUCCAGGUUGGGACAAAGGGCCAGCCUCUCUACUUAUCUCCCCAUUGGCUCCCAACCAUCCUUUAAGCUCACCAGCAUUUUGGAUUCAAUGCCUUUGAAUGCUGUGGAAGUGCAGGUACUCCCUUGAUUUGAAUCCCAUGCAGAGUGCCUUGGCAGUCCGCACCUGCUAUCCUCCCCUGCACGCAGGCCUCGGCUUCCCUGCGCACGCGCUGUAAGCUCCUUGCACCACUCCCGUCCCCGCAGCUGUCGCCUCAUCACUGGCUCGGCUCCCACACCUGUCGCUGGGCUCUGUGCAACUCAGGAUCUUCUUGCUCCCUCUUUAAAAGCAGUCUUUGGUUUUAUCCCUGCCUCGGCUAUCCACCAUGUGAGCUUUUGCUGGCUUCACUGUGUUUGAAGGGCCACACCAGUUCUUUCUGGGCAGCCUGGAACACGGGUAUCUGUCUGAGGAGGAAGUUGAAGAAGCUCCCAACAGUCCCCUGUCAGCCCUGGCUGUUGCCAAAGGGAGAGGCUGGGGUCCCAUCACCGGGCCACCCAGGAUGGAGGGAGUUUCUGUUGUAGGAUAAACCCCGAGGGCAGCUGGUUCCAUGUGGGGCUCUACCACAUGGAUGGUAGGUGCUGUGGGUAGAGGGGAGGCCCCAGGGCCACGUUGGGGACUGUGCUGGGGAUUGGGGGGUCCUUGUCUCCAGGCUUGGUGGGCGACUGGCAGACACUUUGGCUGGGCUGCUGGCCUUCCACUGACUCCCAGUCCUCCCCAGGCCGCCAACUUUCUGAGUUACAGAAUGCAACAAAGGUGGGAAUGAUGGGCUCACCACAACCACAUUUCUUUGUGUUGGCAGAGACCCUAGGCUGAAGUGUGCAGGAUGGGGAAGGACAGCAGCUGUUGGUAGGAUCAGCUGAAGGCGGGGGCUUCACAGCAGUGGUCCACCCCUCCGCCUUGGGGCUCUUGCAGCCUAGGAUCAGGUAGUUGGCCAUCACGUCAUCAUAACUCCAGCCCAUCAGCAGGUCCUGGAUCUGGUGCCACCCAUAACCCAUGGAUAACGUCACCUCAGUUCUGCCAGGGGUCCUUGUAGCCCAGGGGGUGGCUGGAUGUAAGGCUUUAGUUCCUCUUCAUGGACUAUGUUCAUCCAGGGGUCCUUCAUGGUUUCCUCUAAAGUGCUUCUCUCACUGGGAUUGAAGGCCAGGAAUUGCUCUAGUAGGUUUUCACACUCCACAGACAUAUAAAGGGGAAUGCAGUAUAUUCUGCUCAGUACCCACUCCCACAGCUCCCCAAAGUCCUGUAAAGGCAGGCAUCUGCUGGUCACUGGACAGUCAUUGUAUAGAGGAUGGCUCCAGGCUCCACACGGCCACUGCGAGGCUGUUGUACUUUUGGCAUAAGGGGGACUACCACAGAAGGUGUUUAGCUUAUGGCCGACGGUGACCUCAUUGCUGAAGCCAAAGUCUACAACCUUGAUGUUCAGGUCGGCUUCCAAAAGCAGGUUCUCUGGCUUUAGGUCCCUGGGGAUGAUACCCUCCUGGCAAUGGUACUACACAGUGAACACUAUCUGGCAGAAUCUGCCUCCAGGGCUGCUCCUUUCUCAUGCAGGCAUGGUCCAGUGGGUGAUCAAGUGCCUGUAGUGUACUCCGUGACCAGAUAGAGUGUUUCCGUGGUGUCAGUCACCUUGAGUGGUUUCAUGACUCAAGGGUCGUGAUUCAGGGCCUCCAGGCUCUGGACUUCAAGGAAUAGUCUGUGGAGGCUGGAGGAGCUCUGCUGGCUCUUGUUAAUGACCUUCAUGGAUGCUUCUGUCCCACUUAGGUUGUGCCAGACCGACCUCACUUCAGCAAAGCCGCCCUGGCCAAAGGUCUUGAGGAGCCAGUGGUUGUCAGUGCGGGUCUCCUGGUCGCAGGCAUGGCUGUGAGGUCCCGCAGCUCAGCAACUUACUGCUAGCAAUACUAACUAGAAAUGCCCCCACGCCUGGGUGGCUCAGUUGGUUAAGCGACUGCCUUCGGCUCAGGUCAUGAUCCUGGAGUCCCGGGAUCGAGUCCCGCAUCGGGCUCCCUGCUCGGCGGGGAGUCUGCUUCUCCCUCUGACCCUCUUCCCUCUCGUGCUCUCUGUCUCUCAUUCUCUCUCGCUCAAAUAAAUAAAUAAAUAAAAUCUUAAAAAAAAAAAAAAAAGAAAUGCCCCCUAA
Molecule: long non-coding RNA, 3417 nt
Organism: Mirounga angustirostris (Northern elephant seal)
Lineage: Eukaryota; Metazoa; Chordata; Mammalia; Carnivora; Phocidae
Exons: 4
Source: RefSeq, a predicted model, not a curated record